AUACGGAGGGUGCAAGCGUUAAUCGGAAUUACUGGGCGUAAAGCGCGCGUAGGCGGCUGAUUAAGUCGGAUGUGAAAUCCCUGGGCUCAACCUAGGAACUGCAUCCGAUACUGGUCAGCUAGAGUUUUGGAGAGGUAAGUGGAAUUUCCGGUGUAGCGGUGAAAUGCAUAGAGAUCGGAAGGAAAACCAGUGGCGAAGGCGACUUACUGGCCAAAAACUGACGCUGAGGUGCGAAAGCGUGGGUAGCGAACAGGAUUAGAUACCCCAGUAGUCC
RNAcentral lists this ribosomal RNA (274 nucleotides) under uncultured bacterium. Its description in RNAcentral is "partial 16S ribosomal RNA". It matches the Rfam family "Bacterial small subunit ribosomal RNA", at positions 523 to 796 of the family's 1533-position model. The record is from RNAcentral.